This 334-nucleotide long non-coding RNA is filed under the name Vigna radiata. RNAcentral's name for it is "long non-coding RNA (VRAD_LNC003913)". Lineage: Eukaryota; Viridiplantae; Streptophyta; Magnoliopsida; Fabales; Fabaceae. The record is from RNAcentral.
UGAUGUGCGUUUCCAGUAACCGCAGUCUGAGCUGCGUUUUGUACAUACCGCAUUUCGAUAUGCGGCCAACAAAAAACGGGAACCGCAGAUCAAGCUGCGGCAGCAAAUUUUCCGGCCAACACAGAACUCUAACUGCAGAUCAAACUGCGGCAACAAAGUUUUCCUAAACCGCCUUUCGAUUUGUGGUGGCUAGUAACCACAGAUCCAGCUGCGGUAACCGCAACGCAGGUGAGACAGUACACCCCCCCGAAACCCAAACGACGGCANACCUUAACCGCAGAAACAGUUGCAGUUCCGUUUCCGACACCCUUCCCUUUUCGCACCACGAUCCCGC